RNAcentral lists this ribosomal RNA (492 nucleotides) under uncultured bacterium. RNAcentral describes it as "partial 16S ribosomal RNA". It matches the Rfam family "Bacterial small subunit ribosomal RNA", at positions 29 to 507 of the family's 1533-position model. The record is from RNAcentral.
AGUGAACGCUGGCGGUAGGCCUAACACAUGCAAGUCGAACGGCAGCACAGUAAGAGCUUGCUCUUACGGGUGGCGAGUGGCGGACGGGUGAGGAAUACAUCGGAAUCUACUUUUUCGUGGGGGAUAACGUAGGGAAACUUACGCUAAUACCGCAUACGACCUACGGGUGAAAGCAGGGGAUCUUCGGACCUUGCGCGAUUGAAUGAGCCGAUGUCGGAUUAGCUAGUUGGCGGGGUAAAGGCCCACCAAGGCGACGAUCCGUAGCUGGACUGAGAGGAUGAUCAGCCACACUGGAACUGAGCCACGGUCCAGACUCCUACGGGAGGCAGCAGUAGGGAAUAUUGGACAAUGGGCGCAAGCCUGACCCAGCCAUACCGCGUGGGUGAAGAAGGCCUUCGGGUUGUAAAGCCCUUUUGUUGGGAAAGAAAAGCAGCAUAAUAAUACCCCGCUGUUCUGACGGUACCCAAAGAAUAAGCACCGGCUAACUACGUG